AUUGAACGCUGGCGGCAUGCUUUACACAUGCAAGUCGAACGGUAACAGGGUGCUUGCACCGCUGACGAGUGGCGAACGGGUGAGUAAUGCGUCGGAACGUGCCGAGUAGUGGGGGAUAACGCAGCGAAAGUUGUGCUAAUACCGCAUACGUACUGAGGUAGAAAGUGGGGGACCUUCGGGCCUCACGCUAUUCGAGCGGCCGACGGCUGAUUAGCUAGUUGGUGGGGUAAAGGCCUACCAAGGCGACGAUCAGUAGCUGGUCUGAGAGGACGAUCAGCCACACGGGGACUGGGACACGGCCCAGACUCCUACGGGAGGCAGCAGUGGGGAAUUUUGGACAAUGGGCGAAAGCCUGAUCCAGCAAUGCCGCGUGUGUGAAGAAGGCCUUCGGGUUGUAAAGCACUUUUGUCCGGAAAGAAAUGGCUCUGGUUAAUACCUGGGGUCGAUGACGGUACCGGAAGAAUAAGGACCGGCUAACUACGUGCCAGCAGCCGCCGUAA
RNAcentral lists this ribosomal RNA (500 nucleotides) under uncultured bacterium. RNAcentral's name for it is "partial 16S ribosomal RNA". It matches the Rfam family "Bacterial small subunit ribosomal RNA", at positions 30 to 523 of the family's 1533-position model. The record is from RNAcentral.